This is a long non-coding RNA of Lolium rigidum, 1879 nucleotides long. RefSeq lists it as uncharacterized. The record is from RefSeq and is a predicted model, not a curated record. NCBI's taxonomy places the organism in Eukaryota, Viridiplantae, Streptophyta, Magnoliopsida, Poales, Poaceae. The transcript is spliced from 4 exons.
AAGCCACAACACCAGGUUUAGGGUUCCCCAUUGUCUGGGCGAGGUCGUCUGAAACACUAGAUCUACCAGAUGCCCUACUUGAUUCGACCAAAAAAUACACAAAAUUUUGCCGUUAUUCUUCGGAGCCUUGUUCGAUCUCAACAAGCUAACAGUAUUUCCUUUCCCUGUUCAUAUAGGCACCUAGUAGGAUGUUAGAUCGAGCGGAGAAAAAGUUCUUGCGCGGCCCGACAACAAAUUAGUACGGUGAUUUUCAUUAUACAUUUUCAUAGCAAAAUCUUGAUAUUUCGCGUGAGUUUGGGCAGUUAGCUUGCAGAUUCGAUGGCCAUUUUGUUCAGAUUAGUCCCAGAUUAAGCGAUAGGUAUAGUAGGAAUAGCCAGAAAGAUAUGUUCUUUUUUACUUACGCUUGUCUCCGCACUAAGAAGUUUAUUACCCUUGCAGUUUGCUUUCUCUAAUCUCUGCUAAUUUGGGUUGGUGGUUCCUUCAUACGGCCUCCUUCUUAGGCCUUAGGUCUAUUUGUACGCCAGUUCUUCAUUUUAAGGACUGCUUCCAUGAACUUUAUUUCCCUUGUAUAAGAUCCCUAUAAUUGUCCUCGCGUGGCUGUGAUGACAACAAAGAUUCUUCGUCAUACCUUAAUUUCAGUUAAGGACCAAAAAUGAUGACUUUAUUUGUGCGUGUCUGAGCUGACGCUCUUUUUAUAGGUGCAGCCUUGUCUAAAUGUUUUGUUUCCCUUAUCUUUGUGCCGUUUGUUUUUGCAAUUUUUGUUCAUGUUUUUAGGUGAGCACAACUAGCUUAGUAUUUUUCGUGUUCUCAAAUAUCUUUUUUUUUUUUUGUAAUUUUGGUUCAUUUUUUUUAGGUGACAACUGUGUAGAUGAACUAGCUCACUAUUUUUUUGUUCUCCAAUAUAUAUUGCGGUCUAUAACAAUUGUGCAUGGGAGUUCAACAAAUUUGUCAAGCCAUUGCUACUUCAUUCAAUGGCUAUUGACUUCAGUUGCUCCUAUAUUAAUGCAAGGCAAAGAUAGCCUUGGUUCAUCGAAAAAUGGUUGGACUUUGGGUUAGGCCUGCCUUCAGCAUUCUACAAAUUUGAUCCUUUUGUGCUCCUAAUCUGUUUGGUUUUUUUUUCAGCAUCUUUAUGCAUGGCUGUGAUGAUGAAAACUUCGUUUCUCGAUGCUGAGACUUGAUCUAUUCAAGGAUAAACUUUUGAUGAGAAUUGCGUUCCUGAGCCAAUGAACGUGCUUCAUAAACAUCAGGCAAGAGACUGGCUUUAUGAUCCAUCAAUCCUCCUUCCUAGCUGCUGGUUGCUUGGCUUCUAUACUGUAUUGGAUGCACCAUCUACUGGAGGACUGAACUUACCUGGUUUAUUCUGCUGCUUCACUAUCGCUUCCUCUCAUCAGUUCAUAAGUAGCUUUUGCUUUCUUGGAGCUACGCGGUGAGCUUGGGGAUGCUAAUGUGCCAGCAGCAGGUGUCUCUUUUGCAGUCUUUCUAGUUUGGUUUUCCACAGGCUUUCUUGAACGAUGGCAGUUUCUAUUGAUGUGCGGCUCACAAUACUUGUGCUCGGCCAUCACUUCCUUUGAGCACUGCCAUUUCUUGUCAUCGGUUUGGCCGCAUCUUCCAGGUUCUGGGUUCGAACCUGUGUUAGUGAACCCUUCAUAGACAGGCCUCCAUGUCACUUUAUUACUCGGAAGUAUGUUUUGUAAAUGCUGCUUGCAUUUGUACUCUAGAGUAGUCUGUAUUGUGACUGCUCGAUACAUAUAGACUGUUCGGUUACAAAAUGUAAACAUAUAGUUGUGACAGCUUGUAUGAGGCACUUAAUGUUAUGACUACUUGUGUGGUCUAGUUCACAAAUCUUAUUUUGGAAAUCUGUUGAAAUGAUAUGUGCAAC